Molecule: long non-coding RNA, 246 nt
Filed under: Hordeum vulgare
Lineage: Eukaryota; Viridiplantae; Streptophyta; Magnoliopsida; Poales; Poaceae
Description: long non-coding RNA (HVUL_LNC014416)
Source: RNAcentral
AUAAAAAUUAUAUUUUAAUACUCAAUCCAGACUAAAAACAUCAUAAGGAUAAUCAUACGGCCACGAGAAGAAAUGUUACCAUCGAUCCAGCGGGGAGAAAUGUGCCAAGCAUUCAACCGGCUAAAAGUGCAUAUCGAAGCAUCUUGAAUUUUUUGAUUUGGCCUCACAUAACAUCGUUCUUGAGUUGCAUCUUAUCUAUCAGUCGUCUCAGUGGUCCAAUGGACUAGUCAAGCAACUCGCUUAANN